RNAcentral lists this ribosomal RNA (490 nucleotides) under uncultured bacterium. RNAcentral describes it as "partial 16S ribosomal RNA". It matches the Rfam family "Bacterial small subunit ribosomal RNA", at positions 29 to 507 of the family's 1533-position model. The record is from RNAcentral.
AGUGAACGCUGGCGGUAGGCCUAACACAUGCAAGUCGAACGGCAGCACAGGAGAGCUUGCUCUCUAGGUGGCGAGUGGCGGACGGGUGAGGAAUACAUCGGAAUCUGCCCAGUCGUGGGGGAUAACGUAGGGAAACUUACGCUAAUACCGCAUACGACCUUCUGGUGAAAGAGGGGGAUCGCAAGACCUCUCGCGAUUGGAUGAGCCGAUGUCGGAUUAGCUAGUUAGCGGGGUAAUGGCCCACCAAGGCGACGAUCCGUAGCUGGUCUGAGAGGAUGAUCAGCCACACUGGAACUGAGACACGGUCAAGACUCCUACGGGAGGCAGCAGUGGGGAAUAUUGGACAAUGGGCGCAAGCCUGAUCCAGCCAUACCGCGUGGGUGAAGAAGGCCUUCGGGUUGUAAAGACCUUUUGUUGGGAAAGAAAUCUUUCAGGCUAAUACCCUGGGAGGAUGACGGUACCCAAAGAAUAAGCACCGGCUAACUUCGUG